Pongo abelii (Sumatran orangutan) is the source of this 148-nucleotide unclassified non-coding RNA. It matches the Rfam family "Metazoan signal recognition particle RNA". Rfam says of the family: The signal recognition particle (SRP) is a universally conserved ribonucleoprotein. It is involved in the co-translational targeting of proteins to membranes. The eukaryotic SRP consists of a 300-nucleotide 7S RNA and six proteins: SRPs 72, 68, 54, 19, 14, and 9. Lineage: Eukaryota; Metazoa; Chordata; Mammalia; Primates; Hominidae. The record is from Ensembl.
GCCAGGUGUGGUAGUGCAUACCUGUAGUCCCAGCUACUCGGGAGGCUGAGGUAGGAGAAUCGCUUGAGCCCGGGAGGCCGAGGCUGCAGUGAGCAGUGGUGACACCACUGCACUCUAGCCUGGGUGACAGAGCGAGACCCUGUCUCAA